Molecule: ribosomal RNA, 242 nt
Filed under: uncultured bacterium
Lineage: Bacteria
Description: partial 16S ribosomal RNA
Rfam family: Bacterial small subunit ribosomal RNA
Source: RNAcentral
UACGGGAGAGGAAAGCGGAAUGCCUGGUGUAGAGGUGAAAUGCGUAGAUAUCAGGAGGAACACCGAUNGCGAAGGCAGCUUNCUGGACCGAUACUGACGCUCAGGCGCGAAGGUGUGGGUAGCGAACGGGAUUAGAUACCCCGGUAGUCCACACNGUAAACGAUGUUCACUAGGUGUGUCGGAUAUUAAAAUCUGAUGUGCCCAAGCUAACGCAUUAAGUGAACCGCCUGGGGAGUACGGUC